GCGCGAUUGGCGCCAUAGUCGCGUGGCAACUAAGCAAGGGGGAGGUUAGGUUAAGCAAGAUGGCGGGCGAAAUGGUUAUACGAAGAUGUACUUACAUUUGCAUUUCUCCAACACUUUCAGGUGCGAUUCGUUCCUCUUCUAUAUUAAGAGAAGCCGUCACUCACGGAUCUAGAACGCAAUGAUCGUAAGAAAAAUGGACCUAGAUGUUUCGCCACCGAUCCUGACCGGUUUCUUCGACGUCAAAAGCAGUGCGCACGUACGAUUGAAUCUUCUUAAUCGUGAACGAAACUCGCACAUUGUAUUCUAUCUAUGUCUGCUACAUAUACAAGAUUUCAUAUGAUGAUAUCGCGUUAUCAUCUUGUAUGAUAAUAUAAACCAACAUGGAAGAAUCUUAUGUGCCACUUCAAAAUAAGAAUCUUAAAAUGAGAAUGUGAAAAUUUGGAAGGAGUGUGAUUUUACGACGAGCACAUGUCGACAUCGUCGAUCGUAAGGCUCGUGAAUGUCAGGGAGACAGAAGAACGCAGAUUGCUAGAGGCACUGUUCCGCUGACCUACUCCACGAUUAUCACUCACUACAGUCGAUCGCAUCGUUGUACAGCGUCGUACAGCAGGUGCGUGUGCGUUAACUAGCCUUGUGCCAACUAUACGUGUAUAUAUUUAUGUAUAUACACACGUAUAUACGUAUGUAUAUGUUACCAUGCUCAGAGAAAAGGAGGACGCGCUCCGCGGGGACGUAAUCAAAUAAACGGAGCCAUUUUAUUCAACCAUAGUUGUUGAAUUCUCUCCUUUCUCAUUCUCCUUCUUCAUUCUCAUAUUUGGACGUGAUUCAGGAAUACGUAUAUUUCGUACGUAAUAACAAGUAUUUACUUUAGCGCGAUUAACACGAUAAAAUUCAAUAAACAUCGUCAUGUAAUAAUCACACUUUUUCUUUUGAUUUUUAGUCGAUCGAAAAAAAUU
Vespa mandarinia (Asian giant hornet) is the source of this 956-nucleotide long non-coding RNA. NCBI's taxonomy places the organism in Eukaryota, Metazoa, Arthropoda, Insecta, Hymenoptera, Vespidae. The record is from RefSeq and is a predicted model, not a curated record.